Molecule: ribosomal RNA, 735 nt
Filed under: uncultured bacterium
Lineage: Bacteria
Description: bacterial SSU rRNA
Rfam family: Bacterial small subunit ribosomal RNA
Source: RNAcentral
AACAGGAUUAGAUACCCUGGUAGUCCACGCCGUAAAACGAUGAAUACUAGGUGCAGGGGUUGUCAUGACCUUCUGUGCCGCCGCAAACGCAUUAAGUAUUCCGCCUGGGGAGUACGGGUCGCAAGAUUAAAACUCAAAGGAAUUGACGGGGGCCCGCACAAGCAGCGGAGCAUGUGGUUUAAUUCGAAGCAACGCGAAGAACCUUACCUAGACUUGACAUCUCCUGAAUUACUCUUAAUCGAGGAAGUCCCUUCGGGGACAGGAAGACAGGUGGUGCAUGGUUGUCGUCAGCUCGUGUCGUGAGAUGUUGGGUUAAGUCCCGCAACGAGCGCAACCCUUAUUGUUAGUUGCUACCAUUAAGUUGAGCACUCUAGCAAGACUGCCCGGGUUAACCGGGAGGAAGGUGGGGAUGACGUCAAAUCAUCAUGCCCCUUAUGUCUAGGGCUACACACGUGCUACAAUGGCAAGUACAAAAAGAUGCAAUACCGCAAGGUGGAGCUAAACUUAAAAACUUGUCUCAGUUCGGAUUGUAGGCUAAAACUCGCCUACAUGAAGCUGGAGUUGCUAGUAAUCGCGAAUCAGAAUGUCGCGGUGAAUACGUUCCCGGGCCUUGUACACACCGCCCGUCACACCAUGAGAGUUGGCAAUACCCAAAGUUCGUGAGCUAACCCGUAAGGGAGGCAGCGACCUAAGGUAGGGUCAGCGAUUGGGGUGAAGUUGUAACAACGUAACCAA